Molecule: ribosomal RNA, 468 nt
Filed under: uncultured bacterium
Lineage: Bacteria
Description: partial 16S ribosomal RNA
Rfam family: Bacterial small subunit ribosomal RNA
Source: RNAcentral
GACGAACGCUGGCGGCGUGCUUAACACAUGCAAGUCGAACGGAAAGGCCCUGCUUUUGUGGGGUGCUCGAGUGGCGAACGGGUGAGUAACACGUGAGUAACCUGCCCUUGACUUUGGGAUAACUUCAGGAAACUGGGGCUAAUACCGGAUAGGAGCUCCUGCUGCAUGGUGGGGGUUGGAAAGUUUCGGCGGUUGGGGAUGGACUCGCGGCUUAUCAGCUUGUUGGUGGGGUGGUGGCUUACCAAGGCCUUGACGGGUAGCCGGCCUGAGAGGGUGACCGGCCACAUUGGGACUGAGAUACGGCCCAGACUCCUACGGGAGGCAGCAGUGGGGAAUAUUGCACAAUGGGCGGAAGCCUGAUGCAGCAACGCCGCGUGCGGGAUGACGGCCUUCGGGUUGUAAACCGCUUUCGCCUGUGACGAAGCGUGAGUGACGGUAAUGGGUAAAGAAGCACCGGCUAACUACGUG